UGGCGAACGGGUGAGUAACACGUGGGUGAUCUGCCCUGCACUCUGGGAUAAGCCUGGGAAACUGGGUCUAAUACCGGAUAGGACCAUGCUUUAGUGUGUGUGGUGGAAAGUUCUUUCGGUAUAGGAUGAGCCCGCGGCCUAUCAGCUUGUUGGUGGGGUAAUGGCCUACCAAGGCGGCGACGGGUAGCCGGACUGAGAGGUUGGUCGGCCACAUUGGGACUGAGAUACGGCCCAG
This 235-nucleotide ribosomal RNA is filed under the name uncultured Actinomycetales bacterium. Its description in RNAcentral is "partial 16S ribosomal RNA". It matches the Rfam family "Bacterial small subunit ribosomal RNA", at positions 96 to 334 of the family's 1533-position model. The record is from RNAcentral. Lineage: Bacteria; Bacillati; Actinomycetota; Actinomycetes; Actinomycetales.